Long non-coding RNA from Cavia porcellus (domestic guinea pig), 2204 nucleotides. RefSeq lists it as uncharacterized. The transcript is spliced from 3 exons. The record is from RefSeq and is a predicted model, not a curated record. Lineage: Eukaryota; Metazoa; Chordata; Mammalia; Rodentia; Caviidae.
GUAUGUGUAAGAUAUUUGUCACUUGUAAGAGAGGAAGUGACUAGAGAGUACCAAGAAAGAGUUGCUGAACUCAGAGAUUAAAAUCAAGCUGAGGAGCUAGAACUUCUUUCUACAGUGAAAUGCUGCUCCUGGAACUGACAUUUUUUGCAAUUCUCUUCCCAAUUGGUGACACUCAGGAUGUAAAACCCAAGGCAUGGUUGUCCAGUGAUUCCGCUCAUGAGCCUAGCCAUCUGCAGCUGGUGUGUCAUGUCUCUGGAUUCUACCCAAAGCCUGUGUGAGAUGUGGAUGUGAGAUGAGCAGGAGCUGCCUGAAACUCAGAGAGGUGACAUCCUGCCCAAUGCUGAUGACACAUGGUAUCUCCGAAUGACCCUGGAUGUGGUGACUGAGGAAGCCACUGGUCUGUCUUGCCAAGUGAAACACAGCAGUCUAGGAAGACAGGAUAUUGUCUUCUACUGGGGCCAUAUGAAGACAUCUUCUGAGACCUCAUGAUGUCAUGUUUAGCGAUUGGAUUUCACAUUGAGAAGUCCAGAGUUAGUUGUUAACACAGCAAUCAAUUUUGUUAUAUUUUAUAAAAUAACUACUACUUUUAAUUAACAAUGUUUCUGUAGAUUGUAAGAUAAACCACAAUAUAUAUCAAUACAAAAUGAAGAACUUAUUUUGAAAUGGUAUCAAAAGUAGUUCCACCCAGAUGUCAUAAUUUAUCAGAUAUAUUCCCUGCAGUCCUUAAAAUGACAAGGUGUUUUAUCUUUUUUAUUUUGUUGAUUUUUAUUUAUUUUCAAGUGGCAAACUGAAAUUACAGUACCAUAUCUUAUUUAUCUUGUUGAGGAUGCAUGUAGGUAGACUCAGUUUGUGAAUAUUUUGUUUAGGGCUAGGGAUUUUUGCCAUGAUCUUGUCAGGUAUUAAUAUUAAGGAAGUUUUGCCAAAUAAAAUACGUUGAAAAAUGUUCCCUCCAUUUUGUCCCUGGAGUAAGCAGAAAUAUACACUUUUGUUGUUGCAAUGAUUUGACAGAAGAGUUUUUAAAUAAAGUUUUAACUUUUAUAGACUAUUUACAAAAAUAAGUGUACCUCUAUUCACAUAAUCCAUUUGGAUAAGAAAUUUUUGUCAGCAUAGUAAUUUGUAGUUUUUGUACAUUUUUCAAGUUAUCCAAAUUACCCAGUUUAUUACUAAUAGCUGGUUCAUGUUUUAUGAUCUUGUCAAUGUCUGUGAUACUUUUCGUGUGCAAUUUUUUAAACUGGUAUUGAAAAUUUGUUUUCCAUCUCUUGUUCCUUUUUUUUUUUGAUACUAGGGAUCAAACUCAUGACCUCAUGCUCACCCUUAUGCCUCUGAUCUAAAUCCCCAGCCCUCCUCUUUUUUAUUCUUCCUUUUUUUUUUUUCUUGGUAAUGGGAAUCAAUUCCAGGCUUCAUGUGAGGCAAGGACUCUAUCACUGCACUACACUACCACCCUACUCUUAUUCUUUGUCUCACUGUGACAAGAAUUUUAUAAAUUCCUAAAGUUUUUCAAAGAACUAACUUUUGACCACGUUGGGCCUGUCAUAUUAUAUUAUUAUUAUUUUCUCUCUGUUCCUUAGACAUUACUUUUAUAUUUCUUUCACCACUUUCUUUUUUCACUUUUUUUGUCUUCUUUCUUUUUGUUAUUUUGAGAUAACAUCUUGCUACUCCAGACUGGCCUUGAAUUUGCUUUACACCCCAGGCUGGCCUCAAAUUCAAAGCUGUGUACUUGCACCAGCCUCCCUAUUGCUGGGAUAAGAGACGAGGCCCACAAUGCUGACUAAUAUUUCUGAUUUGUUAAUGUAGAUUCUUCAGUAACUUAAUUUUAGCUGUUAUUUUCCUGUCGGAGGUUUUAAGAUUUAAAAGGUUCAUUAAACAUGGUUUUAGUGCAUAUCUAAAAUUUUGGUCUGUUGCAUUACCUUUGUUCAUGUAUUUUCUAGUUUCCACUUUUUAGCAUGUUAGGUAUCUAGAAUUUGCUCUUCAGAACUUGUGUACAUGAGGAAUUUUCUGGUUAUCUUUUAAUCAUUAAUUUUUGAAAAUUGUGAUUGCAUGUGUCUGAGAAAAUAUUUCAUUGUGUUCAGGCUUUUGAAGUUUAUUUAUAUUGCUUUAUGGGAAAACAUAUUAGGUUUUAAAUGAAUGUUUCACAUUCACUUAGAAAGAGUAUGUUUCUCUUUGAAAAAUUCUGAGUUUUAAGUAUAUCAUGAAGUCAUGCUGUU